GGGGGUGCUCUUAGUUACCCA
RNAcentral lists this non-coding RNA (21 nucleotides) under Arabidopsis thaliana (thale cress). The record is from RNAcentral. Lineage: Eukaryota; Viridiplantae; Streptophyta; Magnoliopsida; Brassicales; Brassicaceae.